UUAACUCUAAUUUGCAUGGAGUCAGAACGUUUGCCUACGUUUGCCGCUAGGGGCGCUGUUCCAACUGCAUACAAAUUUCAGUUA
Non-coding RNA from Bombyx mori (domestic silkworm), 84 nucleotides. The record is from Rfam. Lineage: Eukaryota; Metazoa; Arthropoda; Insecta; Lepidoptera; Bombycidae.